RNAcentral lists this ribosomal RNA (497 nucleotides) under uncultured bacterium. RNAcentral's name for it is "partial 16S ribosomal RNA". It matches the Rfam family "Bacterial small subunit ribosomal RNA", at positions 28 to 507 of the family's 1533-position model. The record is from RNAcentral.
GAUGAACGCUGGUGGCGUGCCUAAUACAUGCAAGUCGAGCGAACGGACGAGAAGCUUGCUUCUCUGAUGUUAUCGGCGGACGGGUGAGUAACACGUGGAUAACCUACCUAUAAGACUGGGAUAACUUCGGGAAACCGGAGCUAAUACCGGAUAAUAUUUUGAACCGCAUGGUUCAAAAGUGAAAGACGGUCUUGCUGUCACUUAUAGAUGGAUCCGCGCUGCAUUAGCUAGUUGGUAAGGUAACGGCUUACCAAGGCAACGAUGCAUAGCCGACCUGAGAGGGUGAUCGGCCACACUGGAACUGAGACACGGUCCAGACUCCUACGGGAGGCAGCAGUAGGGAAUCUUCCGCAAUGGGCGAAAGCCUGACGGAGCAACGCCGCGUGAGUGAUGAAGGUCUUCGGAUCGUAAAACUCUGUUAUUAGGGAAGAACAUAUGUGUAAGUAACUGUGCACAUCUUGACGGUACCUAAUCAGAAAGCCACGGCUAACUACGUG